AUGUUUUCUGCUGCUCUGCUGCUGAUCUUAGCAGCUCAAGGUCAGUUUUGGUGUGAACAGCUGAGUCAGCCAACCUCUGUGACUGUGCAGCCAGGUCAGCGUCUGACCAUCAGCUGUCAGGUCUCUUAUUCUCUCAGUGACUACUGGACAGCUUGGAUCAGACAGCCUGCAGGAAAAGGACUGGAGUGGAUCGGGAUGAAAUAUUCUGGAAACUCUUUCUAUAAAGAUUCGCUGAAGAACAAGUUCAGCAUUGAUUUAGACUCUUCCAGUAAAACAGUGACUCUGAAUGGACAGAACAUGCAGCCUGAAGACUCUGCUGUGUAUUACUGUGCCAGAGAGCCACAGUGA
Nothobranchius furzeri (turquoise killifish) is the source of this 348-nucleotide non-coding RNA. Lineage: Eukaryota; Metazoa; Chordata; Actinopteri; Cyprinodontiformes; Nothobranchiidae. The record is from the annotation of a RefSeq genome assembly.